AUGUUUUUAUGGAUCGUUGGAGGCCCUCAAUCAUUCGCUCAAGUUGAGAACCGUUUUGUACGGUCACUUUGGACAGUUCAUACAAAGUUGCAGGAAGUUCUGUUAUGUUUGCGGAAGUUAGCGAAAGAUAUCAUCAAACCGACAGAUCCUACUUUUAGCUAUGAGCAUGAAAGGAUUAAAGAUGAACGUUUCUGGCUUCAUUUCAAAGGUGCUAUUGGUGCAAUAGAUGGAUCACAUGUGCCAGUUUCAGUACCAGCGGAUGAUUCGGUUAACCAUAGAUGUCGGCAUGGUUUUACAUCUCAGAAUGUGCUUGCAAUAUGUGACGUUGACAUGAGGUUUACUUUUGUGGUUGCGGGUUGGCCGGGUUGUGCACAUGACACCAGGAUCUUGAAUCAUGCAUUAUCACAUUUCUCUUCAUUUCCUGUACCUCCCAAAGGGAAAUAUUAUCUUGUGGACUCCGGAUAUCCAAAUCGAACGGGAUAC
This 483-nucleotide ribosomal RNA is filed under the name Triticum aestivum (bread wheat). RNAcentral's name for it is "partial small subunit ribosomal RNA". The record is from RNAcentral. Lineage: Eukaryota; Viridiplantae; Streptophyta; Magnoliopsida; Poales; Poaceae.